Long non-coding RNA from Tupaia belangeri chinensis (Chinese tree shrew), 548 nucleotides. RefSeq lists it as uncharacterized. Lineage: Eukaryota; Metazoa; Chordata; Mammalia; Scandentia; Tupaiidae. The transcript has 3 exons. The record is from RefSeq and is a predicted model, not a curated record.
UGGCGGCGACGGCAGGUGGACGGUGGAGAGCGGCUGCCCUGCACCGCUUCAUCUUGUGCAAGCUGAAAGGGACAAUCAGACACGCUCCUUUUUAUAAGAGGGAAAGGAAGAACCUUGGGCAACGUUGGUGGAUUAGCAGGAGAUGAGAUUAUGAAGGAGAUAACUUUGGAAGUCUGCUCCGAUCCUCGUAUUCGUUCUGUUAACAGUGUUAUUACCUGUCCUAGCACUACUUAUACGUGUCGUAUUUUUACCUAUUUACAUGUCUCUAAAGAGACUGUGUCCCCAAGUCCCAACCCAGUGCUUGGCACCAUUGUAGGUGCUUUAUAAAUAUUUAAUAACUGAUCAAAUAGAAUUUGGAAAAUGGUAUCCUGGAAACGAGAGGAGAAUUAAGAGUCACAAUAGUGACUGAUGUUGAGAGGUCGAGUAAGAGAAGAUUCAGAAAGAGUCCAUUGGAUGUAACAACUAAGUAUGCACACAGAUGUACAUGCCUUCGACCAUUCCCUGUGGCAGGUGAUUUCUUCUGUCCCUAGCUCUCUGCCUCUUUUUGG